GUUUCUAUAGCUUAUUUAGAGCACACCUUUGAAGUUGGUGGGGAAAUUUUUUAUUUAGGAACA
Molecule: transfer RNA, 63 nt
Filed under: Macrosteles quadrimaculatus
Lineage: Eukaryota; Metazoa; Arthropoda; Insecta; Hemiptera; Cicadellidae
Description: tRNA-Phe
Source: RNAcentral